Molecule: ribosomal RNA, 446 nt
Filed under: uncultured bacterium
Lineage: Bacteria
Description: partial 16S ribosomal RNA
Rfam family: Bacterial small subunit ribosomal RNA
Source: RNAcentral
CCUACGGGAGGCUGCAGUCGAGAAUCAUUCACAAUGGGGGAAACCCUGAUGGUGCGACGCCGCGUGGGGGAUUGAAGGUCUUCGGAUUGUAAACCCCUGUCAUGUGGGUGCAAAUUAAAAAGAUAGCACCACAGGAGGAAGCGACGGCUAACGCUGUGCCAGCAGCCGCGGUAAUACAGAGGUCACAAGCGUUGUUCGGAAUCACUGGGCGUAAAGGGUGCGUAGGCUGUUUCGUAAGUCGGGUGUGAAAGGCGGGGGCUCAACCCGCGGACGGCACAUAAUACUGUUAGACUAGAGUGGUGGAGGGGUAACCGGAAUUCUCGGUGUAGCAGUGAAAUGCGUAGAUAUCGAGAGGAACACUCGGGGCGAAGGCGAGUUCCUGGACAUUAACUGACGCUGAGGCACGAAGGCCAGGGGAGCGAAAGGGAUUAGAUACCCUGGUAGUC